CGGAAUUACUGGGCGUAAAGCGCACGCAGGCGGUUUGUUAAGUCAGAUGUGAAAUCCCCGGGCUCAACCUGGGAACUGCAUCUGAUACUGGCAAGCUUGAGUCUCGUAGAGGGGGGUAGAAUUCCAGGUGUAGCGGUGUAAUGCGUAGAGAUCUGGAGGAAUACCGGUGGCGAAGGCGGCCCCCUGGACGAAGACUGACGCUCAGGUGCGAAAGCGUGGGGAGCAAACAGGAUUAGAUACCCUGGUAGUCCACGCCGUAAACGAUGUCGACUUGGAGGUUGUGCCCUUGAGGCGUGGCUUCCGGAGCUAACGCGUUAAGUCGACCGCCUGGGGAGUACGGCCGCAAGGUUAAAACUCAAAUGAAUUGACGGGGGCCCGCACAAGCGGUGGAGCAUGUGGUUUAAUUCGAUGCAACGCGAAGAACCUUACCUGGUCUUGACAUCCACGGAAGUUUUCAGAGAUGAGAAUGUGCCUUCGGGAACCGUGAGACAGGUGCUGCAUGGCUGUCGUCAGCUCGUGUUGUGAAAUGUUGGGUUAAGUCCCGCAACGAGCGCAACCCUUAUCCUUUGUUGCCAGCGGUCCGGCCGGGAACUCAAAGGAGACUGCCAGUGAUAAACUGGAGGAAGGUGGGGAUGACGUCAAGUCAUCAUGGCCCCUACGACCAGGGCUACACACGUGCUACAAUGGCGCAUACAAAGAGAAGCGACCUCGCGAGAGCAAGCGGACCUCAUAAAGUGCGUCGUAGUCCGGAUUGGAGUUUGCAACUCGACUCCAUGAAGUCGGAAUCGCUAGUAAUCGUGGAUCAGAAUGCCACGGU
RNAcentral lists this ribosomal RNA (817 nucleotides) under uncultured Escherichia sp. RNAcentral's name for it is "bacterial SSU rRNA". It matches the Rfam family "Bacterial small subunit ribosomal RNA", at positions 546 to 1363 of the family's 1533-position model. The record is from RNAcentral. Lineage: Bacteria; Pseudomonadati; Pseudomonadota; Gammaproteobacteria; Enterobacterales; Enterobacteriaceae.